Molecule: ribosomal RNA, 448 nt
Filed under: uncultured bacterium
Lineage: Bacteria
Description: bacterial SSU rRNA
Rfam family: Bacterial small subunit ribosomal RNA
Source: RNAcentral
UCCAGACUCCUACGGGAGGCAGCAGUGGGGAAUAUUGGGCAAUGGACGCAAGUCUGACCCAGCAACGCCGCGUGAAGGAAGAAGGCUUUCGGGUUGUAAACUUCUUUUAGGGGGAAGAGCAGAAGACGGUACCCCUUGAAUAAGCCACGGCUAACUACGUGCCAGCAGCCGCGGCAAUACGUAGGUGGCAAGCGUUGUCCGGAUUUACUGGGUGUAAAGGGCGUGCAGCCGGAGAGACAAGUCAGAUGUGAAAUCCGCAGGCUCAACCUGCGAACUGCAUUUGAAACUGUUUCCCUUGAGUAUCGGAGAGGUCAUCGGAAUUCCUAGUGUAGCGGUGAAAUGCGUAGAUAUUAGGAGGAACACCAGUGGCGAAGGCGGUCUGCUGGACAGCAACUGACGCUGAGGCGCUAAAGCGUGGGGAGCAAACAGGAUUAGAUACCCCAGUAAA